AACGAACGCUGGCGGCAGGCUUAACACAUGCAAGUCGAACGCCCCGCAAGGGGAGUGGCAGACGGGUGAGUAACGCGUGGGAACGUGCCCUUUGGUUCGGAAUAUUCCCGGGAAACUGGGAGCAAUACCGGAUAAGCCCUACGGGGGAAGAUUUAUCGCCAAAGGAUCGGCCCGCGUCAGAUUAGCUAGUUGGUGGGGUAAUGGCCUACCAAGGCUACGAUCUGUAGCUGGUCUGAGAGGAUGAUCAGCCACACUGGGACUGAGACACGGCCCAGACUCCUACGGGAGGCAGCAGUGGGGAAUCUUGGACAAUGGGGGAAACCCUGAUCCAGCCAUGCCGCGUGGAUGAUGAAGGCCUUAGGGUUGUAAAGCUCUUUUGUCCGGGAAGAUAAUGACUGUACCGGAAGAAUAAGCCCCGGCUAACUUCGUGCCAGCAGCCGCGGU
This 444-nucleotide ribosomal RNA is filed under the name uncultured bacterium. RNAcentral describes it as "bacterial SSU rRNA". It matches the Rfam family "Bacterial small subunit ribosomal RNA", at positions 29 to 521 of the family's 1533-position model. The record is from RNAcentral.